This 602-nucleotide ribosomal RNA is filed under the name uncultured freshwater bacterium. RNAcentral describes it as "bacterial SSU rRNA". It matches the Rfam family "Bacterial small subunit ribosomal RNA", at positions 8 to 607 of the family's 1533-position model. The record is from RNAcentral.
AGAGUUUGAUCCUGGCUCAGGAUGAACGCUAGCGGCAGGCCUAAUACAUGCAAGUCGAACGUGAUUGUUUUAGCAAUAGAACAUGAAAGUGGCGCACGGGUGCGUAACACGUAUGCAAUCUACCUUUAAUAGGAGAAUAGCUUCGAGAAAUCGGAAUUAAUACUCCAUAACAUAAUUGAGUGGCAUCACUUGAUUAUCAAACCUCCGGGGAUUAGAGAUGAGCAUGCGCAACAUUAGCUAGUUGGUAAGGUAAUGGCUUACCAAGGCUACGAUGUUUAGGGGGUCUGAGAGGAUGAUCCCCCACACUGGUACUGAGACACGGACCAGACUCCUACGGGAGGCAGCAGUAGGGAAUAUUGGGCAAUGGAGGCAACUCUGACCCAGCCAUGCCGCGUGUAGGAAGAAUGCCCUCUGGGUUGUAAACUACUUUUAUACGGGAAGAAAAAAUACUACGUGUAGUAUACUGACGGUACCGUAAGAAUAAGGAUCGGCUAACUCCGUGCCAGCAGCCGCGGUAAUACGGAGGAUUCGAGCGUUGUCCGGAUUUAUUGGGUUUAAAGGGUGCGUAGGCGGAUUUUUAAGUCAGUGGUGAAAGCCUGCAG